UAGUUCCCCUCACACCCCACUCACUCAUCCAUCCCCCUCUCUCGCUCCACCGAAGUCUUCUAUUCCUCUUGACGGCCCUCCACUGCACACAACUCUUGGACUCUCUCUCUCUCAAUGGCGGACCCAGAGAACGCCAUGGGGGCAACGACCUUGCGAUAUGCUUUUGGCAAUGUUCUCUCCUUCUUCAUCCUUCUCUUGAUCGGAGUUCUCGCUUUCUCGAUCCGUCUCUUCUCUGUAAGUUCCUCGAUUUCUGUAGAUCCGAUCCUUGUAAUACCAGUCACCUUCGAUAAUUGCUUAUAAUCAGUUUUGGAAAUGGAGGAAAAUGAUGGAUUGAUGCAUUAUUUAGUUUACCUCAUUCAAAGAAACGGUAAACUGAAUAAAACAUUUGAAUUUUGCUUCUAAAUGUUGCUUGACUUAGCAAGGUAGUUAUGUAUCUCCCUUUUUUUAGAUGUUUCAAAGUUGUAAUUAUCUGAAGAUAUAAAAAAUUGCCAUUUAUGUUCUAUUUGCUCAUAAAAUGGAUAAAAAGCAAACAAAACAAUGUGGGCUAACUUUUUGCCUCCUAUUGGAAUGAAAAGGUUGAAUUGACUUAGCUAGACAGUGAGGUAGAAUUUAGUUUUUUUUACCCCAUCUCCAGUUUCAAUUUUCUGGGGGAAUUUAAAUUACCUCGGGUGGCUGUAUGUUUUUUCAGCAAUUGAAGUUACUAUCGUAAUUUAGAUAGGUUGCUUGCAUUGUUAGUUCUUGCUGCCUCACAAGUUUGUUGAUUGAUUUCCAGGUCAUAAAGUACGAGAGUGUUAUUCAUGAGUUUGAUCCUUAUUUCAAUUACAGAGUCACUCAGGUUCACUUUCCCUCGCAGUUAUUGCUGUGCAAAGAUACAAGCACACAUCAAACAUUAUAUUCUAAUUCCAGUGUUAGCUUUGCCUCAUAUUCUAAAAUAAUGAUAUAAAGGAUGACUGGAUUAAUUGUUUCGUGAUUUCAGUUUUUAACAAAGAAUGGGAUAUAUGACUUUUGGAAUUGGUUUGAUGACCGGACCUGGUAAUUGAUAUAUUAUCUGAUUCAUAAACUCCCAUGGAAGAGUCUGUCUCUUAGAUUUUUAUAUGAUUUCUAAGUUGAAUGCUUUUAUUUGAUUCACUCAAGGUAUCCUCUUGGUCGAGUGAUUGGUGGAACUGUUUACCCUGGUUUGACGUUGACUGCAGGCACUCUGUGGUGGAUAUUGAAUUCUUUGAAUGUUCCUUUGUCUGUUGAGACUGUUUGUGUAUUCACUGCACCAAUUUUCUCUGCGUUUGCUUCAUGGGCCACUUAUCUUUUGACCAAGGAAGUUAAAGGUGCUGGCGCUGGUCUGACAGCAGCUGCUCUUUUGGCCAUGGUAAAUCAUACAACGGGUAUUCCUAACUUUAUAUAUCUUUCAGUGUAAUUGUAUCAAGUUCUUUAUUUUUUUAAUCUUUUUUUAAUGAGGCAUAACUUAUUUUUUGGGCCUAGAUUGUGCAAUUGGGGUAGUGGCUAUGUGGACCUAGUUUGGAGUAUCUAACUGGGGUGGAGUCUUGGUGUAAAAUGCAAUAAACAGCCAGAGAUGGAAGCUACUCUUAGUUUGAUUUGUUGUAUGCACAAAGUUGUGCAGUUUCCUUUUUUCUUAAGAAAUGCUCCAAAACAUGAUACAGAUUUGUUAGGAUAGGAUAUUCUUCUGUAUAGUAUCUGCUACAGCUAUGUGAAUGUGAUGUACUGAUGCCCAAUGCACAUAAUAUGAUAAUAUUGAGAAGUUCUCACAUUUGUUUGCAGGUUCCAUCAUAUAUAUCUCGAUCAGUGGCUGGCAGCUAUGAUAAUGAAGCUGUAGCUAUAUUUGCUUUAAUAUUCACUUUCUAUCUUUAUAUAAAGGUUAGUUGCUGGCAAAAGGAACCAAAUUCUCAUUCUUUUAUGAAACACUUAUGUAAGUGAUAAUGAGGUAUGUUCAGUAGUUUUACUUACUGAAGGCAUUUCUCAUAGGCUGUUUAUUGGCUCAGAUAAUUUGUUUCCAUUUUUGAUUCUUCACUGAAUUUUAUUUUGUAUCAUGUGCAGACAUUGAAUACAGGAUCCCUCUUUUAUGCGACUUUAAAUGCCUUGGCAUACUUCUACAUGGUUUGCUCAUGGGGAGGGUACACCUUUAUAAUUAAUCUUAUUCCAAUGCACGUGCUUCUGUGCAUUGUGACUGGUCGUUACUCUUCCAGGCUGUACAUUGCAUAUGCUCCCUUUGUGGUCUUGGGAACGUUACUGGCUGCUUUGGUGCCUGUUGUUGGUUUUAAUGCAGUAAUGACAUCAGAACAUUUUGCUUCAUUUUUGGUUUUCAUUAUCAUCCAUGUGGUGGCUUUUGUGUAUUAUAUUAAAGGGAUUCUCUCUCCAAAAAUGUUUAAAGUAGCUGUUAUGCUUGUUAUAUCUGUUGGCCUGGCAGUCUGUUGUGCUGUGAUGGCAAUUCUAAUAGCACUGGUAGCUUCCAGCCCAACAAAGGGAUGGAGUGGACGAAGUUUAAGUCUGCUUGAUCCAACCUAUGCAAGCAAGUACAUACCAAUUAUCGCCAGUGUUAGUGAACAUCAACCCCCUACAUGGCCAUCUUACUUCAUGGACAUCAAUGUUUUGGCCUUCUUGGUGCCAGCUGGGAUUAUUGCAUGCUUUCUUCCUUUAUCUGAUGCAAGCUCUUUUGUUGUCCUUUACAUUGUGACAUCUGUAUAUUUUUCUGGAGUCAUGGUCCGACUGAUGCUUGUACUUGCUCCGGCAGCAUGUAUCAUGUCUGGAAUUGCCCUUUCUGAAGCUUUUCAUGUUUUCACAAGAUCAAUUAAAUUUCAGCUACCUGGAUUACUGGGGAGCUCCCAAGUUGAUUCAGGGGAUGCUAGUUCAAGUACUGUUGUAGCACAAAAUGGCGCAGGAAAGGUUGAGAAAACUGAAGAUACAGCAAAAGAACGACCUUCAAAAAAGAACAAGAAGAAAGAAAAAGAGAUUGUGGAUAAGCCAUCUCUUAAAACCAAAAUUGAAAAAAGGCUUCUUGUUUUACCUUUGGAGGCAUCAAUCUUUGCUAUUCUUUUACUUGUGUUGCUUGGUGCCUUCUAUGUGGUUCAUUGUGUCUGGGCAGCAGCAGAAGCUUAUUCUGCACCCUCUAUUGUUUUAACAUCUCAUUCACCUGAUGGUGGUCUGCAUGUUUUUGAUGAUUUUAGAGAGGCCUAUGCAUGGUUAAGCCACAAUACUGAGGUGGAUGAUAAAGUUGCAUCAUGGUGGGACUAUGGUUAUCAAACGACUGCUAUGGCUAACCGAACUGUUAUUGUCGACAAUAAUACCUGGAAUAACACACAUAUUGCAACUGUUGGCACUGCCAUGUCUUCUCCUGAAAAGGCAGCCUGGGAAAUAUUUAACUCCUUGGAUGUAAAAUAUGUUCUAGUUGUCUUUGGAGGUCUUGUUGGCUACCCCAGCGACGACAUAAAUAAGUUCCUGUGGAUGGUUCGUAUAGGAGGGGGUGUGUUCCCUCAUAUCAAAGAGCCCGAUUACCUGAGAGAUGGCCACUAUCGGAUUGAUUCUCAGGCUACGCCAACCAUGCUAAAUUGUCUUAUGUACAAACUCUCAUAUUACAGGUUUGUGGAAACUGAUGGUAAAGGUUUUGAUAGAGUAAGGCGAACAGAAAUUGGGAAGAAACAUUUCAAACUUACCCAUUUUGAGGAGGUAUUCACAACUCACCAUUGGAUGGUCCGCAUAUACAAAUUGAAGCCUCCUAAGAACAGAAUCCGAGGAAAGGCCAAAAAGUUAAAAUCGAAAACAAGCACAACUACAAGCACGAAAAGAAGUGGAGCUAAUAAGAGGAAUCCAUGGCAUUAGGUAACUUUUUACAGGUUUAUGUUCUUAGACGACUGUAUUUCAUAUAUAAUUUGUACUCGGGCAUUUGGAGAGGGAUCAUGCUGGCAUAGUUGAUCUUUUUCCUUGUGAGAUGCAAAGGGUCAAAUCAAAGAUUUUGCUUUCUUUUAAAAUGACCUUGUAUUUUCUCUCAACGUUAUGUUGUAACAAACGCUAAUCAUUUUUGGAUUAAUAGCUUUGAAUUUACCGAGCAAUGCAAAAUUAGAUUUUCUUGCAACCGAUAGAUCAAUUGCUUCUAAUAUAUUUUGAUCUGUUUGCCAACUCGAGGCUCAUUUCUAAUAAAAGUUUAUUCCCACAGCGUUCCACCAUUUUAUGUGAAUUUUACUUGAAUCUAUUUCCACAACAUUACUUUAUUUCCAGUUCGAGAAUUCACAUUCAAAGACCACUACCUCUAGUUGAAAGUAUUUCAGAAUCUUGUAGUGGGCAUCUGAAGGAAAAUUUAGUCGCGGCUUCUGAAGCACAAGCUCCCUCUAACAAUGAGAUGGGACUCUCAAAAACAUGGUGUAAUUGUAAAUUUGU
RNAcentral lists this unclassified non-coding RNA (4383 nucleotides) under Hevea brasiliensis (rubber tree). The record is from RNAcentral. Lineage: Eukaryota; Viridiplantae; Streptophyta; Magnoliopsida; Malpighiales; Euphorbiaceae.